UUUUUUGUCUUAAAUAAAUAUAAAUCACAUUUAUUAUGAAGUUAAAUGGCCAUUAAAAGGCAAACUCUAUGUAGAAAGAAAGGGCUGUCAGCAACAGCAAAAACACAGCUGACAGGUAGCUCCGAGACGCUCCCGAGACGUGGGUAACUCGCGUCUAGUGUGAACACCCUAGGUGGGCAUGACGCGGCCACGACGUGACGCUGCCGUCAGGCGAGCCUGAAGCGCGCUGUGUGGCCCCAGCGUACCACCCAACCCUUA
Molecule: long non-coding RNA, 258 nt
Organism: Sebastes umbrosus (honeycomb rockfish)
Lineage: Eukaryota; Metazoa; Chordata; Actinopteri; Perciformes; Sebastidae
Exons: 3
Source: RefSeq, a predicted model, not a curated record